GCCGACCUAGCUCAACGGUAGAGCAGUGGUUUUGUAAACCACCGGUUCCGGGUUCGAGCCCCGGGGUCGGCUCCG
Molecule: transfer RNA, 75 nt
Filed under: Chloroflexota bacterium
Lineage: Bacteria; Bacillati; Chloroflexota
Description: Chloroflexi bacterium tRNA-Thr
Rfam family: tRNA
About the family: Transfer RNA (tRNA) molecules are approximately 80 nucleotides in length.
Source: RNAcentral